Molecule: ribosomal RNA, 1532 nt
Filed under: Escherichia coli
Lineage: Bacteria; Pseudomonadati; Pseudomonadota; Gammaproteobacteria; Enterobacterales; Enterobacteriaceae
Description: partial 23S ribosomal RNA
Rfam family: Bacterial large subunit ribosomal RNA
Source: RNAcentral
GAAUGCUGACAUAAGUAACGAUAAAGCGGGUGAAAAGCCCGCUCGCCGGAAGACCAAGGGUUCCUGUCCAACGUUAAUCGGGGCAGGGUGAGUCGACCCCUAAGGCGAGGCCGAAAGGCGUAGUCGAUGGGAAACAGGUUAAUAUUCCUGUACUUGGUGUUACUGCGAAGGGGGGACGGAGAAGGCUAUGUUGGCCGGGCGACGGUUGUCCCGGUUUAAGCGUGUAGGCUGGUUUUCCAGGCAAAUCCGGAAAAUCAAGGCUGAGGCGUGAUGACGAGGCACUACGGUGCUGAAGCGACAAAUGCCCUGCUUCCAGGAAAAGCCUCUAAGCAUCAGGUAACAUUAAAUCGUACCCCAAACCGACACAGGUGGUCAGGUAGAGAAUACCAAGGCGCUUGAGAGAACUCGGGUGAAGGAACUAGGCAAAAUGGUGCCGUAACUUCGGGAGAAGGCACGCUGAUAUGUAGGUGAAGCGACUUGCUCGUGGAGCUGAAAUCAGUCGAAGAUACCAGCUGGCUGCAACUGUUUAUUAAAAACACAGCACUGUGCAAACACGAAAGUGGACGUAUACGGUGUGACGCCUGCCCGGUGCCGGAAGGUUAAUUGAUGGAGUUAGCGGCAACGCGAAGCUCUUGAUCGAAGCCCCGGUAAACGGCGGCCGUAACUAUAACGGUCCUAAGGUAGCGAAAUUCCUUGUCGGGUAAGUUCCGACCUGCACGAAUGGCGUAAUGAUGGCCAGGCUGUCUCCACCCGAGACUCAGUGAAAUUGAACUCGCUGUGAAGAUGCAGUGUACCCGCGGCAAGACGGAAAGACCCCGUGAACCUUUACUAUAGCUUGACACUGAACAUUGAGCCUUGAUGUGUAGGAUAGGUGGGAGGCUUUGAAGUGUGGACGCCAGUCUGCAUGGAGCCGACCUUGAAAUACCACCCUUUAAUGUUUGAUGUUCUAACGUGGGCCCGUAAUCCGGGUUGCGGACAGUGUCUGGUGGGUAGUUUGACUGGGGCGGUCUCCUCCUAAAGAGUAACGGAGGAGCACGAAGGUUGGCUAAUCCUGGUCGGACAUCAGGAGGUUAGUGCAAUGGCAUAAGCCAGCUUGACUGCGAGCGUGACGGCGCGAGCAGGUGCGAAAGCAGGUCAUAGUGAUCCGGUGGUUCUGAAUGGAAGGGCCAUCGCUCAACGGAUAAAAGGUACUCCGGGGAUAACAGGCUGAUACCGCCCAAGAGUUCAUAUCGACGGCGGUGUUUGGCACCUCGAUGUCGGCUCAUCACAUCCUGGGGCUGAAGUAGGUCCCAAGGGUAUGGCUGUUCGCCAUUUAAAGUGGUACGCGAGCUGGGUUUAGAACGUCGUGAGACAGUUCGGUCCCUAUCUGCCGUGGGCGCUGGAGAACUGAGGGGGGCUGCUCCUAGUACGAGAGGACCGGAGUGGACGCAUCACUGGUGUUCGGGUUGUCAUGCCAAUGGCACUGCCCGGUAGCUAAAUGCGGAAGAGAUAAGUGCUGAAAGCAUCUAAGCACGAAACUUGCCCCGAGAUGA